UGCGUGACCAAACACUUAUUCUUAUAGGAGUUAUCUCCCCGCAUCCCCUUUUUCUUGUUAUCACUAUAUCUCUAAAACCGUAAAAGAUUUUAGCAAACUGUUUUCACCAAAUUGUUUGUCUACUCUUGAGAAUAAUUUGGUUUAUUUUGACUUGAGUGAUCGGAAGACAUCUUAUGGGAGUUAUUUCCCUUUGAAAAUUUAAGAUAGGCGAUUUGUUGGAUAAAUUCAUACGUUAUAAGUCGUAGAGGCCUACAGUCUUUUGAUAUGAUGUCCUUGGUUCAUUUGAAGGAAAUUGAGGUCAAGGUCAAAGGUCAAGGUCAUGUUUUAAUUUUGAAUUUUGCUUGUUAUCGUUAUUCCACAGAAACUGUGACAGUAAAUGAUAUGAUGUGUUUGCCAAAUAACUGUUUACAAUAAAGCGCAACUUCAACCUAUUUCAGUCAAAUUGUUUCGGUUAACCCUUAUAGGAGUUUUCUCCCCUUAUGUAUUUCAAAUCAGUAUUUCUCCACAACCAUACAAGUGAUUGACCUCUGGUCUUCCGUUCUGAGUUCACUGACAUAUGACCUUGAAAUUGAGAUCAAGGUCGAAGGUCAAGGUCAUGUUAUACAUUUUGAAUUUUGCUUGUUAUCGUUAUUCAGAAGAAACUGUUGCAAUUAAUGAUAUGGUUUGUUUGCCAAAAUACUGUUUACAAAAAGGCGCAACUUCAACUUAUUUCAGUCAAAGUGUUUUGGUUAACCCUUAUAGGAGUUUUCUCCCCUUAUGUAUUUGAAAUCAGUAUUUCUCCACAACAAUACAAACGAUUGACCUGGGGUCUUUUGAUUU
This 819-nucleotide long non-coding RNA is filed under the name Mytilus galloprovincialis (Mediterranean mussel). Lineage: Eukaryota; Metazoa; Mollusca; Bivalvia; Mytilida; Mytilidae. The record is from RNAcentral.